UGAGGAAUAUUGGUCAAUGGGCGGGAGCCUGAACCAGCCAAGCCGCGUGAGGGAUGAAGGCCCUAUGGGUCGUAAACCUCUUUUGUCAGGGAACAAAAGCGAGUAUGUAUACUGGUCUGAGUGUACCUGAAGAAAAACGCAUCGGCUAACUCCGUGCCAGCAGCCGCGGUAAUACGGAGGAUACGAGCGUUAUCCGGAUUUAUUGGGUUUAAAGGGUGCGUAGGCGGCGGUGCAAGUCAGCGGUAAAAGCCCGGGGCUCAACCCCGGCGAGCCGUUGAAACUGCAGUGCUAGAGAAGGCGAGAGGUACGCGGAAUGCGCAGUGUAGCGGUGAAAUGCUUAGAUAUUGCGCAGAACUCCGAUUGCGAAGGCAGCGUACUGGCGCCUGACUGACGCUGAGGCACGAAAGCGUGGGGAUCGAACAGGAUUAGAUACCC
RNAcentral lists this ribosomal RNA (435 nucleotides) under uncultured bacterium. RNAcentral describes it as "bacterial SSU rRNA". It matches the Rfam family "Bacterial small subunit ribosomal RNA", at positions 355 to 787 of the family's 1533-position model. The record is from RNAcentral.